Molecule: ribosomal RNA, 253 nt
Filed under: uncultured bacterium
Lineage: Bacteria
Description: partial 16S ribosomal RNA
Rfam family: Bacterial small subunit ribosomal RNA
Source: RNAcentral
UACAGAGGUCCCGAGCGUUGUUCGGAAUUACUGGGCGUAAAGCGUGUGUAGGCGGCUACAUAAGUCGGAUGUGAAAGCCCCGGGCUCAACCCGGGAAGUGCACUCGAUACUGCGUAGCUUGAGUCUCGGAGAGGUUGGUGGAAUUCUCGGUGUAGAGGUGAAAUUCGUAGAUAUCGAGAGGAACACCGGUGGCGAAGGCGGCCAACUGGACGAAGACUGACGCUGAGACACGAAAGCGUGGGGAGCAAACAGG